This 253-nucleotide ribosomal RNA is filed under the name uncultured bacterium. Its description in RNAcentral is "partial 16S ribosomal RNA". It matches the Rfam family "Bacterial small subunit ribosomal RNA", at positions 524 to 776 of the family's 1533-position model. The record is from RNAcentral.
UACGAAGGGUGCAAGCGUUACUCGGAAUUACUGGGCGUAAAGCGUGCGUAGGUGGUUUGUUAAGUCCGAUGUGAAAGCCCUGGGCUCAACCUGGGAAUGGCAUUGGAUACUGGCAGGCUAGAGUGCGGUAGAGGGCAGUGGAAUUCCCGGUGUAGCAGUGAAAUGCGUAGAGAUCGGGAGGAACAUCUGUGGCGAAGGCGACUGCCUGGACCAGAACUGACACUGAGGCACGAAAGCGUGGGGAGCAAACAGG